GACAGAGGGUGCGAGCGUUAAUCGGAAUUACUGGGCGUAAAGCGUGCGUAGGCGGUUUCGUAAGUCGGGUGUGAAAUCCCCGGGCUCAACCUGGGAAUUGCAUUCGAAACUGCGAGGCUAGGGUACGGAAGAGGGAAGCGGAAUUUCUGGUGUAGCGGUGAAAUGCGUAGAUAUCAGAAGGAACAUCAGUGGCGAAAGCGACUUCCUGGUCCAGUUCCGACGUUCAGGCACGAAAGCGUGGGGAGCAAACAGG
Molecule: ribosomal RNA, 253 nt
Filed under: uncultured bacterium
Lineage: Bacteria
Description: partial 16S ribosomal RNA
Rfam family: Bacterial small subunit ribosomal RNA
Source: RNAcentral